RNAcentral lists this ribosomal RNA (453 nucleotides) under uncultured bacterium. Its description in RNAcentral is "bacterial SSU rRNA". It matches the Rfam family "Bacterial small subunit ribosomal RNA", at positions 29 to 525 of the family's 1533-position model. The record is from RNAcentral.
AGCGAACGCUGGCGGCAGGCUUAACACAUGCAAGUCGAGCGGGCGUAGCAAUACGUCAGCGGCAGACGGGUGAGUAACGCGUGGGAACGUGCCUUUCGGUUCGGAAUAACCCAGGGAAACUUGGGCUAAUACCGGAUACGCCCUUCGGGGGAAAGAUUCAUUGCCGAAAGAUCGGCCCGCGUCGGAUUAGCUAGUUGGUGGGGUAAAAGCCUACCAAGGCGACGAUCCGUAGCUGGUCUGAGAGGAUGACCAGCCACACUGGGACUGAGACACGGCCCAGACUCCUACGGGAGGCAGCAGUGGGGAAUAUUGGACAAUGGGCGCAAGCCUGAUCCAGCCAUGCCGCGUGGGUGAAGAAGGCCCUAGGGUUGUAAACCCCUUUCAGCGGGGAAGAUAAUGACGGUACCCGCAGAAGAAGCCCCGGCUAACUCCGUGCCAGCAGCCGCCGUAAAC